RNAcentral lists this ribosomal RNA (497 nucleotides) under uncultured bacterium. RNAcentral describes it as "partial 16S ribosomal RNA". It matches the Rfam family "Bacterial small subunit ribosomal RNA", at positions 28 to 507 of the family's 1533-position model. The record is from RNAcentral.
GAUGAACGCUGGCGGCGUGCCUAAUACAUGCAAGUCGAGCGAACAGACGAGGAGCUUGCUCCUCUGACGUUAGCGGCGGACGGGUGAGUAACACGUGGAUAACCUACCUAUAAGACUGGGAUAACUUCGGGAAACCGGAUCUAAUACCGGAUAAUAUAUUGAACCGCAUGGUUCAAUAGUGAAAGACGGUUUUGCUGUCACUUAUAGAUGGAUCCGCGCCGCAUUAGCUAGUUGGUAAGGUAACGGCUUACCAAGGCAACGAUGCGUAGCCGACCUGAGAGGGUGAUCGGCCACACUGGAACUGAGACACGGUCCAGACUCCUACGGGAGGCAGCAGUAGGGAAUCUUCCGCAGUGGGCGAAAGCCUGACGGAGCAACGCCGCGUGAGUGAUGAAGGUCUUCGGAUCGUAAAACUCUGUUAUUAGGGAAGAACAAAUGUGUAAGUAACUAUGCACGUCUUGACGGUACCUAAUCAGAAAGCCACGGCUAACUACGUG